Molecule: ribosomal RNA, 467 nt
Filed under: uncultured bacterium
Lineage: Bacteria
Description: bacterial SSU rRNA
Rfam family: Bacterial small subunit ribosomal RNA
Source: RNAcentral
ACCAGACUCCUACGGGAGGCAGCAGUGAGGAAUAUUGGUCAAUGGGCUUACGCCUGAACCAGCCAAGUCGCGUGAGGGAAGACUGCCCUAUGGGUUGUAAACCUCUUUUGUCAGGGAGCAACGCCGGCUACGUGUAGCCGGACUGAGAGUACCUGAAGAAAAAGCAUCGGCUAACUCCGUGCCAGCAGCCGCGGUAAUACGGAGGAUGCGAGCGUUAUCCGGAUUUAUUGGGUUUAAAGGGAGCGUAGGCCGGUCUUUAAGCGUGCCGUGAAAUUUUGUGGCUCAACCAUGAGAGUGCGGCGCGAACUGGAGACCUUGAGUGCGCGGAAGGCAGGCGGAAUUCGUGGUGUAGCGGUGAAAUGCUUAGAUAUCACGAAGAACCCCGAUUGCGAAGGCAGCUUACUAAACUGCCACUGACAUUGAUGCUCGAAAGUGUGGGUAUCAAACAGGAUUAGAUACCCGCGUAC